GGAGGGAUGGCUGAGCGGUUGAUGGCACCGGUCUUGAAAACCGGCAUAGGUGAAAGCCUAUCGGGGGUUCGAAUCCCUCUCCCUCCGCCA
Molecule: transfer RNA, 90 nt
Filed under: Desulfovibrio sp.
Lineage: Bacteria; Pseudomonadati; Thermodesulfobacteriota; Desulfovibrionia; Desulfovibrionales; Desulfovibrionaceae
Description: tRNA-Ser
Rfam family: tRNA
About the family: Transfer RNA (tRNA) molecules are approximately 80 nucleotides in length. Their secondary structure includes four short double-helical elements and three loops (D, anti-codon, and T loops).
Source: RNAcentral